AUUUCGGUAUCUCGGUAUUGACAUCCCAAGCAGGCGAUAGCGCCGUUAAUGUAUUGGAUGCAUGUGAAUGUCACAGAAUUGGAGCAACGAUCAUUGCAAUGGCGAGACGAUAAAAAGUAAAUAAAAAUCCUUAGUUUAAAGGCGGUUGUGGGCAGCAAAGGAAUAUUGAGUGUUCUACGAUAAGAAAAUUAUGAAUGUGAAUUACAUAAUUGAAAACCUCUUUGUGUGGGAUCGCAAACUGUAAAAUGAGUCCAAUGCUGGGGUUCAAUUCACGUUCUGCGUAAACGUGAAAUGAAAAGUUUUUUCCCGUUUUCAUUACACUUUCGACUCGAAUGCCGUGAAACAAUUAAAAGAAACGUUAAGAUGUUUUCACAUGAAAAUAACAAAGGGGAAUGAAACGAAAUCUUUUCACUUUCUCAUUUCGCACUCUGGUCGCGUGCGAAAGUGAAAACAGCUGCCAAAAUAUUUUCACAUCAAAAUUUUCCUUUCACAGAUAUUUCGUAGGAGAAAAAUGGAGAAGUAGUAGUGCUAGGAAGACAUCGGAGCACUAUCGAUACUAUCGAUGUUCGACAUUAUUUUAAACCAUCGAUUGUUUUUUUCCACUAUCGAUGUUUUGAGAAAAUUUUCCAUCUCUAUACAUUUUGUGCGUGGCUGAUUUGGAUUGAAUUUUAAUUGGUGUUGGUGCUCGGAUGGUCGCAAGGAUGGAUAAGUUCGUUGGGAACAAAACAAAGGAAAACAACAAUGCGUGCGCUGCAUGUGCAAAAACGGCUCUAACGAGGAGAGCAGCAACAAAACAAAUAAGUUUGGAAAAUCGGAAGUGUGGAAUUUUUUUAUCAAAAUGAAUGGUUCAAAUUCUAAGUGCAAAGUCUGUGGUAGGGUUUAUAAAACUUGCAAUAAUACGUCAAACCUCAGAGAUCAUCUUCGGCGAUUGCAACCGGAUAUAAAAUUAUCAGACCAUAAGUCUUCUGGCAAUAUUUUGUCUUUUAUGGAAAGAAAAUACGAUAAGAGUUCUGAUCGUACAAUAGUA
Molecule: long non-coding RNA, 1027 nt
Organism: Anastrepha ludens (Mexican fruit fly)
Lineage: Eukaryota; Metazoa; Arthropoda; Insecta; Diptera; Tephritidae
Exons: 3
Source: RefSeq, a predicted model, not a curated record